UACGUAGGGGGCAAGCGUUGUCCGGAAUCAUUGGGCGUAAAGAGCGUGUAGGCGGCCAGAUAAGUCCGCUGUGAAAUCUCGAGGCUCAACUUCGAGCUGUCGGUGGAAAUGGUCUGGCUAGAGUCCGGAAGAGGAGAAUGGAAUUCCUGGUGUAGCGGUGAAAUGCGCAGAUAUCAGGAAGAACACCCGUGGCGAAGGCGGUUCUCUGGGACGGUACUGACGCUGAGACGCGAAAGCGUGGGGAGCGAACAGG
RNAcentral lists this ribosomal RNA (253 nucleotides) under uncultured bacterium. RNAcentral describes it as "partial 16S ribosomal RNA". It matches the Rfam family "Bacterial small subunit ribosomal RNA", at positions 524 to 776 of the family's 1533-position model. The record is from RNAcentral.